Molecule: long non-coding RNA, 1222 nt
Filed under: Mus musculus (house mouse)
Lineage: Eukaryota; Metazoa; Chordata; Mammalia; Rodentia; Muridae
Description: long non-coding RNA chr4:116687703-116688925
Source: RNAcentral
UUUUUUUUUUUUUAAGUUUUAUUUAUUUAUUAUAUAUAAGUACACUGUAGCUGUCUUCAGACACUCCAGAAGAGGGAGUCAGAUCUCGUUACGGAUGUAGUUGCUUGCUGGGAUUUGAACUCUGGACCUUUGGAAGAGCAGUCGGUGCUCUUAAGGGCUGAGCCAUCUCUCUAGCCCUUUCCCUUUUCUUUUUUCACUGUAAUUAAAAAAGUUUUCUUUAAGAUAGGAUCUUUAUGUAGUUCUGGCUGUCCUGAAGCUCACUAUGUAGAUCAGGCUGGCCUUGAACUCAAAGACAUCCUCCUGCCUCUACCUCCCUAGUGCUAAGAUUAAAGCUUGCACAAUCUUGUCCCCCUUUGUUUUGGUCAGUUCUUGCUCGCUCUCAUCAUUUGUUUAUUUGAGCUGUCUUACUAUCUAUUCCCUUGGCUUUCUAAAUAUGUAGACCAUGGUUGUAUCUAACUCCUAGAGAUAGAUACAACCUGCCUUUGCUUUUCCCUUCCUCUUUUUUUUGUUUUGUUUUUUGAGACAGGGUUUCUCUGUAUAGCUCUGGCUGUCCUGGAACUCACUUUGUAGACCAGGCUGGCCUCGAACUCAGAAAUCUGCCUGCCUCUGCGUCCCGAGUGCUGGGAUUAAAGGCAUGUGCCACCACGCUUGGUGUUAAAACAUUUUUUAAUCUUAUGUGUAUGGUGGGUUUUUUUCUUUUCCUGAAUGUGUGUCUGAGCAUCAUGUACAUAUGGUACAUGAGGAGGGCAUUGGAUCCCCUGGGACUGGAAUGUAGAUGUUUUUGAGCCUCCAUAUUUCUACUGGGUCCUCUAAAAGAGCAGCCAUUAUGAUUAAUUGCCAAGCCAACUUUUCAGUCACCUUCAGCUCAUUUUUUUUAAAAAAACUACAUUUGGUCUUACAAAUCAAGUCUUUGGAGCUGUGGCUUUGCUUUUGCUCAAAGGGAAGACUUGACACUCCAAUUACCUUUUGUUUUUACCAUAGUUUCAUGCAGAUACUUGGUAGGUUCUGUUGAUGGUUUACCUUCUCUCCUUUUAAAAAAUUUAGCUCCUAGCUAGGUGUAGUGAAUGGAGUGGUGUAGCAGGUGGAUUUCGGGUCAGCUAAAGCUGCAUGGUGGGACCCUGUCUGGAAAAAAGAAAAAGAAAAAAGCAAAACAAUUCGAGGCCAGCCUGGUCUACAGAGUGAGUUCCAGGGCUAUACAGAGGAACCCUGUCUCAGGAAACCG